CCUACGGGAGGCAGCAGUAGGGAAUCUUCCACAAUGGACGAAAGUCUGAUGGAGCAACGCCGCGUGAGUGAAGAAGGGUUUCGGCUCGUAAAGCUCUGUUGGUAGUGAAGAAAGAUAGAGGUAGUAACUGGCCGUUAGUUGACGGUAAGUACGUAGAAAGGCACGGCUAACUACGUGCCAGCAGCCGCGGUAAUACGUAGGUGGCAAGCGUUGUCCGGAUUUAUUGGGCGUAAAGCGAGUGCAGGCGGUUCAAUAAGUCUGAUGGGAAAGCCUUCGGCUCCACCGGAGAAUUGCAUCCGAAACUGUUGCACUUGAGUGCAGCAGAGGCGAGUGGCACUCCCUGUGUAGCGGUGCAAUGCGUAGAUAUAUGGAAGCACACCAGUGGCGAAGGCGGCUCUCUGGUCUGCAACUGACGCUGAGGCUC
RNAcentral lists this ribosomal RNA (424 nucleotides) under uncultured bacterium. Its description in RNAcentral is "partial 16S ribosomal RNA". It matches the Rfam family "Bacterial small subunit ribosomal RNA", at positions 338 to 754 of the family's 1533-position model. The record is from RNAcentral.